RNAcentral lists this ribosomal RNA (257 nucleotides) under uncultured prokaryote. RNAcentral's name for it is "partial 16S ribosomal RNA". It matches the Rfam family "Bacterial small subunit ribosomal RNA", at positions 524 to 780 of the family's 1533-position model. The record is from RNAcentral.
UACGUAGGUGGCAAGCGUUGUUCGGAAUGACUGGGCGUAAAGGGCGUGUAGGUGGACUGAUCAGUCGGGUGUGAAAUAUCUAGGCUCAACCUGGAGGGUGCAUCCGAUACGGUCAGUCUUGAGUGCAGGAGGGGGCAGUGGAAUUCCCAGUGUAGCGGUGAAAUGCGUAGAUAUUGGGAGGAACACCAGUGGCGAAGGCGGCUGCCUGGACUGUAACUGACACUGAGGCGCGAAAGCGUGGGGAGCAAACAGGAUUA